GAUGAAGAACGUAGCGAAAUGCGAUAAGUUGUGUGAAUUGCAGAAUUCAGUGAAUCAUCGAAUCUUUGAACGCACAUUGCGCCCCUUGGUAUUCCAUGGGGCAUGCCUGUUCGAGCGUCAUUUGUACCUUCAAGCUCUGCUUGGUGUUGGGUGUUUGUCUCGCCUUGCGCGUAGACUCGCCUUAAAACAAUUGGCAGCCGGCGUAUUGAUUUCGGAGCGCAGUACAUCUCGCGCUUUGCACUCAUAACGACGACGUCCAAAAGUACUUUUUACACUCUUGACCUCGGAUCAGGUAGGGAUACCCGCUGAACUUAAGCAUAUCAAUAAGCGGAGGA
RNAcentral lists this unclassified non-coding RNA (335 nucleotides) under soil metagenome. RNAcentral's name for it is "partial contains 5.8S ribosomal RNA, internal transcribed spacer 2, and large subunit ribosomal RNA". The stretch from base 1 to 120 matches the Rfam family "5.8S ribosomal RNA", at positions 35 to 154 of the family's 154-position model. The record is from RNAcentral.